UGGGGAAUAUUGGACAAUGGAGGGAACUCUGAUCCAGCAAUUCUGUGUGUGUGAAGAAGGUUUUAGGACUGUAAAACACUUUUAGUAGGGAAGAAAAAAAUGACGGUACCUACAGAAGAAGCAACGGCUAAAUACGUGCCAGCAGCCGCGGUAAUACGUAUGUUGCGAGCGUUAUCCGGAAUUAUUGGGCUUAAAGGGCAUCUAGGCGGUAAGACAAGUUGAAGGUGAAAACCUGUGGCUCAACCAUAGGCUUGCCUACAAAACUGUUGAACUAGAGUACUGGAAAGGUGGGUGGAACUACACGAGUAGAGGUGAAAUUCGUAGAUAUGUGUAGGAAUGCCGAUGAUGAAGAUAACUCACUGGACAGAAACUGACGCUGAAGUGCGAAAGCUAGGGGAGCAAACAGGAUUAGAUACCCUGGUAGUCCUAGCUGUAAACGAUGAUCACUGGGUGUGGGGAUGCGAAGUCUCUGUGCCGAAGCAAAAGCGAUAAGUGAUCCGCCUGGGGAGUACGUUCGCAAGAAUGAAACUCAAAGGAAUUGACGGGGGCCCGCACAAGUGGUGGAGCAUGUGGUUUAAUUCGACGCAACGCGAGGAACCUUACCAGAUCUUGACAUCCUCGGGAGAGUAUAGAAGUAUACUUGUGCCUUCGGGAACCGAGAGACAGGUGGUGCAUGGCUGUCGACAGCUCGUGUUGUGAGAUGUUGGGUUAAGUCCCGCAACGAGCGAAACCCCUAUCAUUAGUUGCCAUCAUUAAGUUGGGGACUCUAAUGAAACUGCCUACGAAGAGUAGGAGGAAGGUGGGGAUGACGUCAAGUCAUCAUGCCCCUUAUGAUCUGGGCUACACACGUGCUACAAUGGGUAGUACAAAGAGAAGCUUUGUAGCGAUACAUGGCGAAACUUAAAAAGCUAUUCUUAGUUCGGAUUGAAGUCUGCAACUCGACUUCAUGAAGUUGGAAUCACUAGUAAUCGUGAAUCAGCAAUGUCACGGUGAAUACGUUCUCGGGCCU
RNAcentral lists this ribosomal RNA (1009 nucleotides) under unidentified. Its description in RNAcentral is "bacterial SSU rRNA". It matches the Rfam family "Bacterial small subunit ribosomal RNA", at positions 355 to 1381 of the family's 1533-position model. RNAcentral also lists the same sequence under 1 other name. The record is from RNAcentral.